GCGAAGAACCUNCCUAAACUUGACAUACCNAAUGNCAGCCUUUUAAUCGAGGACUCUUACCCUCGGGUAGACAAUGGAUACAGGUGGUGCAUGGUUGUCGUCAGCUCGUGUCGUGAGAUGUUGGGUUAAGUCCCGCAACGAGCGCAACCCUUGUCGAUAGUUACCAGCAGUAAGAUGGGGACUCUAUCGAGACAGCUAAGGACAACUUAGAGGAAGGUGGGGAUGACGUCAAAUCAUCAUGCCCCUUAUGUUUAGGGCUAACNACAACCUGCUACCAAUGNUCAUUACAGAGAGAAGCGAAACUGCGAAGUCAAGCAACCUCAAAAAGAUGAUCCAGUUCGGAUUGUAGGCUGAAACUCGCCUACAUGAAGUUGGAGUNGCUAGU
This 385-nucleotide ribosomal RNA is filed under the name uncultured bacterium. Its description in RNAcentral is "bacterial SSU rRNA". It matches the Rfam family "Bacterial small subunit ribosomal RNA", at positions 961 to 1339 of the family's 1533-position model. The record is from RNAcentral.